CCUACGGGAGGCAGCAGUGGGGAAUAUUGGGCAAUGGGCGCAAGCCUGACCCAGCAACGCCGCGUGAAGGAAGAAGGCUCUCGGGUUGUAAACUUCCUUUUUUAGGGACGUAGCAAGAGACGGUACCUGCGGAAUAAGACUCGGCUAACUACGUGCCAGCAGCCGCGGUAAUACGUAGGCGGCAAGCGUUAUCCGGAUUUACUGGGUGUAAAGGGCGUGUAGGCGGGGACGCAAGUCAGAUGUGAAAACCAUGGGCUCAACCUGUGGCCUGCAUUUGAAACUGUGUUUCUUGAGUACUGGAGAGGCAGACGGAAUUCCUGGUGUAGCGGUGAAAUGCGUAGAUAUUAGGAGGAACACCGAUGGCGAAGGCAGUCUGCUAAACAGCAACUGACGCUGAGGCGCGAAAGCGUGGGGAGCAAACAGGAUUAGAUACCCUAGUAGUC
This 443-nucleotide ribosomal RNA is filed under the name uncultured bacterium. RNAcentral describes it as "partial 16S ribosomal RNA". It matches the Rfam family "Bacterial small subunit ribosomal RNA", at positions 338 to 795 of the family's 1533-position model. The record is from RNAcentral.